AGUGUAGGUGGCUCAUUAAGUCACAUGUGAAAUCCCCGGGCUUAACCUGGGAACUGCAUGUGAUACUGGUGGUGCUAGAAUAUGUGAGAGGGAAGUAGAAUUCCAGGUGUAGCGGUGAAAUGCGUAGAGAUCUGGAGGAAUACCGAUGGCGAAGGCAGCUUCCUGGCAUAAUAUUGACACUGAGAUUCGAAAGCGUGGGUAGCAAACA
This 208-nucleotide ribosomal RNA is filed under the name uncultured bacterium. RNAcentral's name for it is "partial 16S ribosomal RNA". It matches the Rfam family "Bacterial small subunit ribosomal RNA", at positions 568 to 774 of the family's 1533-position model. The record is from RNAcentral.